CUGCAUAUUGUCAUGAAUA
This 19-nucleotide non-coding RNA is filed under the name Mus musculus (house mouse). The record is from RNAcentral. Lineage: Eukaryota; Metazoa; Chordata; Mammalia; Rodentia; Muridae.